AAAUCUCCAGGUGCUCAAUGCUCCAAGAGGCUAGACCGGAAACACAUGACCUCCACCGAAGACGUCAUCUCUACUUUAAUGUAAACCUAUAAGGCGACGAAACAAUUUAUUUUGACUGCAAAUAAAUGUUUAUUAAAUAAGAUUGUUUUUACGUUAUGGAGUUUGUUCCCACAUAUAAACAUGGAGCAAAACGACCAUCUGGAAGACAGAGAAAACAUGGGUAAAGAAGCCCACGGAGUGAUUUAAUGAAGCUACGAGGAGAAAACGCUGCGUUUUCACGCACAGUGACUGGGUUAAACUUGUAAACACUUGGCCAGUAUAAGUGUAAGUGCGCUUCCUGUAUGAGAACACAACACACUGCUGGGGCCACAGAACAGUUGGCUGAUGAGACGCUCAUGAUUCAUGAAAUGGGUCAAAUGCAGAUGACAAAGUAAAGCCAACACUGAGCAGGAGGUGCUGACCCAGACUUCUGUCUCUGUUUAGGUCUGGGACAUGUUACAUUGAAAACUCCAAUAAUAAUAAGAGCUGCAAAUGAAUCAGGCUCAUGUUGAAAUCAUUAUUUAAUUUGUGAAAAUGCACAUUUCUCAAAUGUGUGGGAUUUAGCUGUUUGGAUUUAUGUAAUAGUUUUCUUAAUGUGUGUGUGUCAGGUUUAAGCCCACCUAAACAUUGUAAAAGUAAGAAGAAAGACAAGAGAUUAAUAUCGUUUACUCGCGAGGAGGACGGACAGAGAGUGCGAUCAGUUACAGCA
Boleophthalmus pectinirostris (great blue-spotted mudskipper) is the source of this 748-nucleotide long non-coding RNA. RefSeq lists it as uncharacterized. Lineage: Eukaryota; Metazoa; Chordata; Actinopteri; Gobiiformes; Gobiidae. The transcript is spliced from 3 exons. The record is from RefSeq and is a predicted model, not a curated record.